RNAcentral lists this ribosomal RNA (406 nucleotides) under uncultured bacterium. Its description in RNAcentral is "partial 16S ribosomal RNA". It matches the Rfam family "Bacterial small subunit ribosomal RNA", at positions 29 to 526 of the family's 1533-position model. The record is from RNAcentral.
AUUGAACGCUGGCGGCAGGCCUAACACAUGCAAGUCGAGCGAGCGGCGGACGGGUGAGUAAUGUCUGGGAAACUGCCUGAUGGAGGGGGAUAACUACUGGAAACGGUAGCUAAUACCGCAUACCAUCAGAUGUGCCCAGAUGGGAUUAGCUAGUAGGGGGGGUAACGGCUCACCUAGGCGACGAUCCCUAGCUGGUCUGAGAGGAUGACCCGGCACACUGGAACGGAGACAGGGUGCAGACUCCUACGGGAGGAAGCAGGGGGGAAUAUUGCACAAUGGGCGAAAGCCGGAUGCAGCAAUGCGGGGUGUGUGAAGAAGGACUGCGGGUUGUAAAGCACUGUAAGCGGGGAGGCGUUACCCGCAGAAGAAGCACCGGCUAACUCCGUGCCAGCAGCCGCGGUAAUUC